CCCCUAGAUGUCCUGGGCCGCACGCGCAAUACAGUGUAAAGUUCAGAAAGCAUAUCCUGUUCCGGAAGGCAAUGGGUAAUCUUUUCAAUAUUUUACGUGUUAGGGAUCGAUCUUUGCAAUUAUAGAUCUUGAACGAGGAAUACCUAGUAAGUGCAGCUCAUCAGGCUGUACUGAUUACGUCCCUGCCCUUUGUACACACCGCCCGUCGCUCCUACCGAUUUCGAGUGGUCCGGUGAAUCUUUUGGAAUUAGAGUGCAAACUCAAACUAAGAUCGAUAAACCUUAUCACUUAGAGGAAGGAGAAGUCGUAACA
Molecule: ribosomal RNA, 312 nt
Filed under: uncultured eukaryote
Lineage: Eukaryota
Description: partial 18S ribosomal RNA
Rfam family: Eukaryotic small subunit ribosomal RNA
Source: RNAcentral